UCCGGCUUACACCGGCGGUCUCCUGUGAGUCCCCAUCUUUCAUGCUGGUAACACAGAACGAGGGUUGCGCUCGUUGGCGGACUUAACCGUACACCUCACGGCACGAGCUGACGACAGCCAUGCAACAUCUGUUUUCGAGUCCCCUUGUGGGGGAGGACCCAAUCUCUUGGGCUUUCUCUCAAUGUCAAACCUGGGUAAGGUUCUUCGGUUAGUAUCGAAUUAAACCACAUGCUCCACCGCUUGUGCGGGUCCCCGUCAAUUCAUUUGAGUUUCAACCUUGCGGCCGUAGUCCCCAGGCGGGAUACUUAAUGCGUUAGCUGCGGCACAGGAGGGGUCGAUACCUCCUACGCCUAGUAUCCAUCGUUUAGGGCGUGGACUAC
Molecule: unclassified non-coding RNA, 380 nt
Filed under: uncultured Armatimonadota bacterium
Lineage: Bacteria; Bacillati; Armatimonadota
Description: uncultured Armatimonadetes bacterium contains 16S-23S intergenic spacer region
Source: RNAcentral